Molecule: ribosomal RNA, 118 nt
Filed under: Cephalotus follicularis
Lineage: Eukaryota; Viridiplantae; Streptophyta; Magnoliopsida; Oxalidales; Cephalotaceae
Source: RNAcentral
GGAUGCGAUCAUACCAACACUAAUGCACUCGAUCCCAUCAGAACUUCGCAGUUAAGCGUGUCGGGCGAGAGUAGUACUAGGAUGGGUGACCUCUUGGGAAGUCCUCGUGUUGCACCCC